CUCAGAAUCAACGCUGGCGGCGUGCCUAACACAUGCAAGUCGAACGAGAAAGUGGAGCAAUCCAUGAGUAAAGUGGCGCACGGGUGAGUAACACGUGACUAACCUACCCUGGAGUGGGGGAUAACUGAGGGAAACCUUAGCUAAUACCGCAUAAUACCUACGGGUCAAAGGAGCAAUUCGCUUUGGGAGGGGGUCGCGGCCGAUUAGUUAGUUGGCGGGGUAAUGGCCCACCAAAGACAGUGAUCGGUAUCCGGGCCUGAGAGGGCGCACCGGACACACUGGAACUGAAACACGGUCCAGACUCCUACGGGAGGCAGCAGUGGGGAAUUUUGCGCAAUGGGGGAAACCCUGACGCAGCAACGCCGCGUGGAGGAUGAAGUCCUUCGGGACGUAAACUCCUUUCGAUCGGGACGAUAAUGACGGUACCGGAAGAAGAAGCCCCGGCUAACUUCGUGCCAGCAGCCGCGGUAAUACGAGGGGGGCGAGCGUUGUUCGGAAUUAUUGGGCGUAAAGGGUGCGUAGGCGGUUUGGUAAGUCUUAUGUGAAAUCUAUGGGCUCAACUCAUAGACUGCAUGAGAAACUGCCGGGCUUGAGUGUGGGAGAGGUGAGUGGAAUUUCCGGUGUAGCGGUGAAAUGCGUAGAUAUCGGAAGGAACACCUGUGCGAAAGCGGCUCACUGGACCACAACUGACGCUGAUGCACGAAAGCUAGGGGAGCAAACAGGAUUAGAUACCCUGGUAGUCCUAGCCUUAAACGAUGAUCGCUUGGUGUGACGGGUACCCAAUCCCGCCGUGCCGUAGCUAACGCGUUAAGCGAUCCGCCUGGGGAGUACGGUCGCAAGGCUGGU
Molecule: ribosomal RNA, 846 nt
Filed under: uncultured bacterium
Lineage: Bacteria
Description: bacterial SSU rRNA
Rfam family: Bacterial small subunit ribosomal RNA
Source: RNAcentral